This 343-nucleotide unclassified non-coding RNA is filed under the name soil metagenome. RNAcentral's name for it is "partial contains 5.8S ribosomal RNA, internal transcribed spacer 2, and large subunit ribosomal RNA". The stretch from base 1 to 120 matches the Rfam family "5.8S ribosomal RNA", at positions 35 to 154 of the family's 154-position model. The record is from RNAcentral.
GAUGAAGAACGCAGCGAAAUGCGAUAAGUAGUGUGAAUUGCAGAAUUCCGUGAAUCAUCGAAUCUUUGAACGCACAUUGCGCCCGCUAGUAUUCUGGCGGGCAUGCCUGUCCGAGCGUCAUUUCAACCCUCAAGCCCCCGGGCUUGGUGUUGGGGAUCGGCGAGCCUCCGCGCCCGCCGUCCCCUAAAUCUAGUGGCGGUCUCGCUGUAGCUUCCUCUGCGUAGUAGCACACCUCGCACUGGGAAACAGCGCGGCCACGCCGUUAAACCCCCAACUUCUGAACGUUUGACCUCGGAUCAGGUAGGAAUACCCGCUGAACUUAAGCAUAUCAAUAAGCGGAGGA